RNAcentral lists this unclassified non-coding RNA (316 nucleotides) under Hevea brasiliensis (rubber tree). Lineage: Eukaryota; Viridiplantae; Streptophyta; Magnoliopsida; Malpighiales; Euphorbiaceae. The record is from RNAcentral.
GGCUCCUCCUCCUCUCAAACACAAAGAAACCCUUUCACAUUUCAUCAUCUUCAUCAUCUCCACCACCCACAAAUCCACUUCUUCUCAGUAUGGAUGAAAAUGAUUCAGUCUCUGAAUUCCUGGAAACUGCUGUUGAAGCAGCUAAGAGCGCUGGCGAGGUUAUCCGCAAAGGAUUUUACCAGACCAAGCAUGUCGAGCACAAAGGCCAGGUUGAUUUAGUCACAGAAACUGAUAAGGCUUGUGAAGAUGAUGAAAUGUGAAAGCACCGCUACCCUACUCACAAGUUCAUUGGGGAAGAAACUACUGCUGCCUAUGG